AACGCUGGCGGCAUGCCUUACACAUGCAAGUCGAACGGCAGCAUGGAAGAGCUUGCUCUUCUGAUGGCGAGUGGCGAACGGGUGAGUAAAGCAUCGGAACGUACCGUGUAAUGGGGGAUAACGUAGCGAAAGUUACGCUAAUACCGCAUACGACCUGAGGGUGAAAGCAGGGGAUCGCAAGACCUUGCGUUAUACGAGCGGCCGAUGUCAGAUUAGCUAGUUGGUAGGGUAAAGGCCUACCAAGGCGACGAUCUGUAGCGGGUCUGAGAGGAUGAUCAGUCACACUGGAACUGAGACACGGUCCAGACUCCUACGGGAGGCAGCAGUGGGGAAUAUUGGACAAUGGGCGAAAGCCUGAUCCAGCCAUGCCGCGUGUGUGAAGAAGGUCUUCGGAUUGUAAAGCACUUUAAGUUGGGAGGAAGGGCAGUAAGCUAAUACCUUGCUGUUUUGACGUUACCGACAGAAUAAGCACCGGCUAACUCUGUG
Molecule: ribosomal RNA, 486 nt
Filed under: uncultured bacterium
Lineage: Bacteria
Description: bacterial SSU rRNA
Rfam family: Bacterial small subunit ribosomal RNA
Source: RNAcentral